Molecule: long non-coding RNA, 729 nt
Organism: Mirounga angustirostris (Northern elephant seal)
Lineage: Eukaryota; Metazoa; Chordata; Mammalia; Carnivora; Phocidae
Exons: 3
Source: RefSeq, a predicted model, not a curated record
CAUCAAGGACCUAGGCUCUGGUUCCACUUUUGCCAACCUGGGAAAAUUUUUCUUAUUCUUAGACUGUUGCCUUGUGGAUGCAAGUCAGAAGAACCAUAGCUUCAAGCAUAAUGUCCACACAUAACCAUGUUCAAGGCAGGAGGAAGGAGCAGGGACGAAAGGGGUGCUCAUGGAAAUAUCUCCUGCCACAGUGUCCUCUUCCAUUUGACUUUGUGUCAGAUCCUGCUGUCGGCUAAGCUUUGGACUCGUGGUUUCAGCUCAGGUCUUGAUCUCAGGUGAGGUUGACCCCACGUGGGGCUCUGCACUCGGUCCCGAGUCUCCUUGACUUUCUCUCUCCCUCUCCUUCUGACCCUCCCCCACUCCCUGCAUGUGCACUCUCUCUCUCUCUGAAAUAAAUAAUCUUAAAAAAAACCCCAGAAAACUGUGUACCAGAAAUCACUAUAUGCAAACGUAUGAGGCAAGCAAUAAACUGGGAAGUCUCCUGGUUUCAUCUGGUGACACGGGAGCAUGGUAUCAAAGAGUAGGGGCAAGAGUCAGUGUUACUGGAGUAUGGGGUCUCCUUAAUACCACAGGCUGAUGAUAUUAUUAUUCCCAUUUAUCAUCAUCAUUAUCAUCAUCAUCAUCAUCAUCAUCAUCUCCAUUUUGUCAAUGACUACAUUAGGAAGUUAUAGUUGCCCCAAAUCAAGUGGGCACUGAAGUGCCCAAAAUCAAGUGUACUGAUUCAUCCAG